Molecule: ribosomal RNA, 512 nt
Filed under: uncultured bacterium
Lineage: Bacteria
Description: bacterial SSU rRNA
Rfam family: Bacterial small subunit ribosomal RNA
Source: RNAcentral
CGCUGGCGGCGUGCCUAAUACAUGCAAGUCGAACGGUCUUUCUAUGGAAGCUUGCUUCCACUGAGAAGAUAGUGGCGAACGGGUGAGUAACACGUGGGUAACCUGCCCAUAAGAGGGGGGAUAACAUCCGGAAACGGGUGCUAAUACCGCAUAGUUUUCUUGAUCGCAUGAUCGGGAAAGGAAAGACGGCCUUUGUGCUGUCGCUUAUGGAUGGACCCGCGGCGUAUUAGUUAGUUGGUGAGGUAACGGCUCACCAAGACGAUGAUACGUAGCCGACCUGAGAGGGUGAUCGGCCACAUUGGGACUGAGACACGGCCCAAACUCCUACGGGAGGCAGCAGUAGGGAAUCUUCCGCAAUGGACGAAAGUCUGACGGAGCAACGCCGCGUGAGUGAAGAAAGGUUUUCGGAUCGUAAAACUCUGUUGUCAGAGAAGAACAAGUUGGAGAGUAACUGCUCCAGCCUUGACGGUAUCUGACCAGAAAGCCACGGCUAACUACGUGCCAGCCGCUGC